GCCAGCAGCCAAAGCACCUGCAGUUCAGACCGGAUAAUCCACCUGAAGCUAAGCAGGGUUGGGCCUGGUCAGAACUUGGAUGGGAGACCAACAAGGAAAGCUGGGUUGCUGCUGGGA
RNAcentral lists this ribosomal RNA (117 nucleotides) under Paramormyrops kingsleyae. The record is from RNAcentral. Lineage: Eukaryota; Metazoa; Chordata; Actinopteri; Osteoglossiformes; Mormyridae.